RNAcentral lists this ribosomal RNA (484 nucleotides) under uncultured bacterium. Its description in RNAcentral is "bacterial SSU rRNA". It matches the Rfam family "Bacterial small subunit ribosomal RNA", at positions 28 to 494 of the family's 1533-position model. The record is from RNAcentral.
GAUGAACGCUAGCGGCAGGCUUAAUACAUGCAAGUCGAGGGGCAUCAAGGUACACGAAAGUGUAUUGUUGGCGACCGGCGGACGGGUGAGUAAUAGGUAGGUAACCUACCUCAUACUGAGGCAUAGCUGGGAGAAAUUCCAGGUAAUUCCUCAUGAGGUUAUAUGACACAUGUGAUAUAAUCAAAGGUAUCGCAAGGUACUGGUAUGAGAUGGGCUUACUGACCAUUAGCUAGUUGGUGAGAUAAGAGCUCACCAAGGCGAAGAUGGUUAGGGGUUUUGAGAGAGAGAUCCCCCACAUUGGAACUGAGAUACGGUCCAGACUCCUACGGGAGGCAGCAGUAGGGAAUAUUGGGCAAGUGGGCGGAAGCCUGACCCAGCCAUGCCGCGUGAAGGAAGACGGCCUUAUGGGUUGUAAACUUCUUUACUAUGCGACUAACUAGAUUUACGAGAUAAUUCUAUAGAAUGUAGCAUAGACAAAAGCACC